CAAAUGAUGAAACAUUUGCACAGAUCAGAGUGAUGAGUUUCAUCCAGUCCUCAAACUGAUG
RNAcentral lists this small nucleolar RNA (61 nucleotides) under Euglena gracilis. RNAcentral's name for it is "Eg-m138.1 box C/D methylation-guide". Lineage: Eukaryota; Euglenozoa; Euglenophyceae; Euglenales; Euglenaceae. The record is from RNAcentral.